GGAUGCGAUUAUACCAGCACUAAAGCACCGGAUCCCAUCAGAACUCCGAAGUUAAGCGUGCUUUGGCGAGAGUAGUACUAGGAUGGUGACCUCCUGGAAAUCCUCGUGUUGCAUUCCC
RNAcentral lists this ribosomal RNA (118 nucleotides) under Secale sylvestre. The record is from RNAcentral. Lineage: Eukaryota; Viridiplantae; Streptophyta; Magnoliopsida; Poales; Poaceae.